RNAcentral lists this non-coding RNA (21 nucleotides) under Caenorhabditis elegans. Lineage: Eukaryota; Metazoa; Nematoda; Chromadorea; Rhabditida; Rhabditidae. The record is from RNAcentral.
UCGACUCAUUACAGCUGAUUA